CUGCAGCCAGCUGCCUACAGCAGAACAAGAACUUACCUUGGAGAGGGGAGCAGCUGUGACUUUGAAAUGUGAUCAGUUACUUUAGUGCAGCCCAAAGAACCAUAGCUGAGGAGGACUCAAGACAACAAUUAAGCACGUUGUCUUGUUAAAGCAAGAUGGGGUCCAGUAUCAAUGAAUCCUGACUUGAGAAUGUGUGUGUCAUGGCCUUGAACUUCAUCAGCACCCCAGACUGAAGCAGGAGAGCAACCUGGAGGAGGACUAGCCUCAGAGAAGUAACAAGGACUAAGAAUGGCAACCUUUGCACCUGCUGCUCUCUGAUAAUUAGAACUGAGUCUCACCUGCCCAGGUUUGAAUUCAAUACAAUUGGGAAGAUGAUAGAAGUCAUCCUUUCUCCUGGUUUCUAUAUCCCCCCUUGGUCCUCUGGUGACCUUAAAAGUCACAACAC
RNAcentral lists this long non-coding RNA (445 nucleotides) under Cricetulus griseus (Chinese hamster). Its description in RNAcentral is "lncRNA (ENSCGRG00015039521.1)". Lineage: Eukaryota; Metazoa; Chordata; Mammalia; Rodentia; Cricetidae. The record is from RNAcentral.